Molecule: long non-coding RNA, 1198 nt
Organism: Xiphophorus couchianus (Monterrey platyfish)
Lineage: Eukaryota; Metazoa; Chordata; Actinopteri; Cyprinodontiformes; Poeciliidae
Exons: 3
Source: RefSeq, a predicted model, not a curated record
UAAAUAUUGAAAAUGCAGGGGUUUGUGAGGGAUUUACCCCCCUCAACAGGUGUUGUUGUUUUUUGUGCUUCCUGUAUUGUUGCUUUGUUUAAUAUUUUGUUUUGAUCAUCCUCUCUUUCCUUUGAAGUCAUGUGUUGCCAUGGAGGCGCACCCAUGAGCAGUGAUGCCUAGGACCUGGUGUUUCCAAUUUACCUUACUGGGAAGGUCCAUUGUUUGAGAAGGAAGAGAGAUGUUUGUUUUAUUUUUUGUUUGGUCCCAGCUUAUUUUUGUUUUUGUUAAAUUGUUAGUUGUAAUUCUGUGAAUAUUUGUUUAGGAAUAUUGUUUAGCACAAAUGUUUGUUCUUUCGUUUACCUGGAAAUGUAAUUGUUGUCUCCGCCCCUUAAUCAGUCCUGGCCAUGCUUUAAAAGCCAGGUGGUUUGAAUCAGAGGGGUGGCUCCCUCUUGUUUGGAAUGUUUGUCAGUUUGAAAAUGGUCAUGUAAUGUGCAAAGAACUGAUAAAGAAAAGAUUUAGAGCUCUAUAAUGGCUGGACUUUGUCUGAUUUCGGAUCGCAAACCAACACAGCAUCAAACCCAAUGUUUGUGACUUUAAUCCUUUAUUGUUUAAACUUAAACAAUGAAACUGAAACACAUACUGUACAUCCUCAUACAAUUAGGUAACACACACACACAAAAUUUACAAAUGUAAUAAAACUAAAAAGUUGUGAAAGUCGCAGUCGGAUGUAAACAGUAAAUUUCCUUGGUUUUCGUCCCUUCGGUCUACGAGGCACAGAAAAUAUCUGCAAAUAUUAAGGGGCGAAUUCAUUCUGACUGAAAAAGAAAACAUGGUUGGAUCAGCAGAUUAGCUCCAGACAGGUCAAGUUUGAUGAUUUUUACAGUGGACAAGGUGUGUAGACAAUCACACCUACAGAUUGUCCAGAGUGGUCACCCUGGAGCUCUGUCCAGAACCCGUCCCAACCUUAAAGGUUAACGGUGUAGCCGGACAGCCAUCCUGCAGUCGAGCCAUUCCAGCUUUGUGAAUGCGCCUUUAUGAAUAGAAAGCAUCUCCUUUCUGUAAAGGUGUGAUUUAUAUGAGCAGAAUUGACUAAUAAAUGUAGCAGCAUGUUGGCCUGGUCCAACACAUGACUCCUCUAUUAGGAAUAAGCUUCCACAUUCCCCACUCAGCACAGAGCCUUCUCUGAAACGCUGUCUGUCUUUAAAUG